AACGUAGGGGGCGAGCGUUGCCCGGAUUCACUGGGCGUAAAGCGGGUGUAGGCGGUUUUUUAAGUCGGAUGUGAAAUCCUACGGCUCAACCGUGGAACUGCAUCCGAUACUGGGGAACUUGAGGACGGUAGAGGUCGGUGGAAUUCCAGGUGUACCGGUGAAAUGGGCAGAUAUCUGGAGGAACACCAGUGGCGAAAGCGGCCACCUGGACUGCACCUGACGCUGACACGCGAAAGCUAGGGGAGCGAACGGG
This 253-nucleotide ribosomal RNA is filed under the name uncultured bacterium. RNAcentral's name for it is "partial 16S ribosomal RNA". It matches the Rfam family "Bacterial small subunit ribosomal RNA", at positions 524 to 776 of the family's 1533-position model. The record is from RNAcentral.